Molecule: long non-coding RNA, 337 nt
Filed under: Lathyrus oleraceus (garden pea)
Lineage: Eukaryota; Viridiplantae; Streptophyta; Magnoliopsida; Fabales; Fabaceae
Description: Pisum sativum (pea) long non-coding RNA (PSAT_LNC040380)
Source: RNAcentral
CAACGGUUCAUGAUGACUUGUGCAUCACACUUCUGAAAUGAUUAUCAAGGUUGUUUCCAUAUCAUGGGAAAGGAAUUCGGUCACGUGUUGCCUAUGCCCAGAUUGGAUCCACUGUAAAUUAUGUUGAUUUCGCUCUUUCUUACAAUUUGUGGUUGUCUUGCAGGUUGGAAUAUCGGGUCAGUUUUGUUCCUAAUGUUAGCUUAAUUAACCCAUAGAGUGGAUGUGAAUGACCCCAUGACAGGGAUACUGCCAUGCUAUUUUUGUACCAUUUGUCUGCAAUAUUUGACUUGAUGUAGGCUAGGAUUGGCUUCUGCAGGUUUUUGUUACAAUCUUCACG